This 65-nucleotide transfer RNA is filed under the name Litobothrium nickoli. RNAcentral describes it as "tRNA-Trp". Lineage: Eukaryota; Metazoa; Platyhelminthes; Cestoda; Litobothriidea; Litobothriidae. The record is from RNAcentral.
AUAAAAUUAAGUUAGUGUGGACUGGGUGUUUUCAAAACACCUAGCGGCGUUAUGGCCAUUUUAUG